Non-coding RNA from Caenorhabditis elegans, 150 nucleotides. Lineage: Eukaryota; Metazoa; Nematoda; Chromadorea; Rhabditida; Rhabditidae. The record is from Ensembl.
CAAGAGAAAACCGUGUAAAUGAAUGACCUCAAACUGGAAAUGAGAAACGGCUAGAAAUAAACUAAAAUAUAACUGUGAGAAGAAAAAAAAACUAGAGCUUUUCAGCGUCUGACAAUGCUCUUUCAAUCAUUUUUCGUUCAGCUUCUUCCU